AGAGUUUGAUCAUGGCUCAGAACGUACGCUGGCGGCACGCCUAACACAUGCAAGUCGAACGAAGUAGCAAUACUUAGUGGCAGACGGGUGAGUAACAUGUAGGUAUCUGCCCUUUGGCCUGGAAUAACACGAGGAAACUUGUGCUAAUACCGGAUAAGUCUUUACGGAGAAAGCUUUAUGCACCAUUGGAUGAGCCUGCAUUUGAUUAGUUUGUUGGUGGGGUAAUGGCCUACCAAGACUGUGAUCAAUAGCUGAUUUGAGAGGAUGAUCAGCCACAUUGGGACUGAGACACGGCCCAAACUCCUACGGGAGGCAGCAGUGGGGAAUCUUGCACAAUGGAGGAAACUCUGAUGCAGCGAUGCCGCGUGAGUGAAGAAGGCCUUUGGGUUGUAAAGCUCUUUCGUCGGGGAAGAAAAUGACUGUACCCGAAUAAGAAGGUCCGGCUAACUUCGUGCCAGCAGCCGCGGUAAUACGAAGGGACCUAGCGUAGUUCGGAAUUACUGGGCUUAAAGAGUUCGUAGGUGGUUGAAAAAGUUGGUGGUGAAAUCCCAGAGCUUAACUCUGGAACUGCCAUCAAAACUUUUCAGCUAGAGUAUGAUAGAGGAAAGCAGAAUUUCUAGUGUAGAGGUGAAAUUCGUAGAUAUUAGAAAGAAUACCAAUUGCGAAGGCAGCUUUCUGGAUCAUUACUGACACUGAGGAACGAAAGCAUGGGUAGCGAAGAGGAUUAGAUACCCUCGUAGUCCAUGCCGUAAACGAUGUGUGUUAGACGUUGGAAAUUUAUUUUCAGUGUCGCAGCGAAAGCGAUAAACACACCGCCUGGGGAGUACGACCGCAAGGUUAAAACUCAAAUGAAUUGACGGGGACCCGCACAAGUAGUGGAGCAUG
RNAcentral lists this ribosomal RNA (885 nucleotides) under uncultured bacterium. RNAcentral describes it as "bacterial SSU rRNA". It matches the Rfam family "Bacterial small subunit ribosomal RNA", at positions 8 to 941 of the family's 1533-position model. The record is from RNAcentral.